GGGGGUGUAGCUCAGGGGUAGAGCGCUCGCUUUGCAUCUCCGAGUAGUCAAGCAUGCGAGAGGCCUAGGGUUCAAAUCCCUACUCCUCCA
This is a non-coding RNA of Xylariaceae sp. FL1651, 90 nucleotides long. The record is from the annotation of a GenBank genome assembly. NCBI's taxonomy places the organism in Eukaryota, Fungi, Ascomycota, Sordariomycetes, Xylariales, Xylariaceae.